AAGGAAUUUUCGUCAAUGGGCGCAAGCCUGAACGAGCAACGCCGCGUGGAGGAUGACGGCUUUCGGGUUGUAAACUCCUUUUCGAGGGGAUGAUUAUGACAGUACCCUCGGAAUCAGCCCCGGCUAACUCUGUGCCAGCAGCCGCGGUAAUACAGAGGGGGCAAGCGUUGUCCGGAGUUACUGGGCGUAAAGGGUCCGCAGGCGGCUAUGCAAGUGUCGUGUGAAAGCCCCGUGCUUAACACGGGGAGGCCACGGCAGACUGCACAGCUCGAGUGAUGCAGAGGGUGGUGGAAUUGCCGGUGUAGUGGUGAAAUGCGUAGAGAUCGGCAGGAACACCCAGGGCGAAAGCAGCCACCUGGGCAUCAACUGACGCUGAGGGACGAAAGCGUGGGGAGCGAA
RNAcentral lists this ribosomal RNA (399 nucleotides) under uncultured bacterium. Its description in RNAcentral is "bacterial SSU rRNA". It matches the Rfam family "Bacterial small subunit ribosomal RNA", at positions 356 to 772 of the family's 1533-position model. The record is from RNAcentral.